Long non-coding RNA from Centropristis striata (black sea bass), 1283 nucleotides. RefSeq lists it as uncharacterized. The transcript is spliced from 2 exons. The record is from RefSeq and is a predicted model, not a curated record. Lineage: Eukaryota; Metazoa; Chordata; Actinopteri; Perciformes; Serranidae.
CCAGCAGAUGUCACUGUGCUGCUGCUGAGUCUGAAGCCUCAAAGCUUCACAAAGCUUCCUGCACCGUCCCUAAAAACACAUACAAUUUAAUACAAGUUUAUUACAGCAUGUGAUGAUGAUGAUGAUGAUGUCAUUGUGUCGUCCUGCAGCCCUGCUCUGAGAAAGUCAUCAGUCUGAUGCAGAAACACAUGGAGGUGGUGCUGGGGAUCGCCUUCGCCAUCGCCAUCCUGCUGAUCUUCGGCAUGGUCUUUUCCAUGAUUCUCUACUGUCAGAUCGGCAAGAAGGAGGGCCCCACCCCCGCCUGAGGGCCAACAUGGGGCCCCACCCCGGCCUGAGGGCCAACACGUGGCCCCGCCCCUCGCUGCCAGCCAGCAGUGCCCCAAUGACCCAUGUAACAUCAAUGCUACUGUAACCUGACGUGUGCUUUUAUUGUGGAGGAACACGCUGAUAAUUUGGUUAAACUACCACAUUAAUACAUAACCUCUGUGUAAUAUAUGGAGUCUCAAGAGUGACACAAUUUAAAUAUUUAAGCAAAUUUGAGUGUGAAAAUGCAACAUAAGGUAAAAUAAAUGGGUUUUUACUUUUGAAUUUUUCAAAUUAAUCAGAGUGUUCCUUUAACUUUACAGAAAACCUGUGAUAAUUAUUAUUUUAUGAUUUUUUUUUUAAACUCAAGUCCAAAGUCUGUUUCUGUUCACAUUGCGGGCUAAAAAAAAAAAAAAUGGAAGCCCAUUACUGCCUCAUAAAUACAAGGUUAAGUAUUAUUUAAUUAUUCACACAUUCUUAAAAGAAACUAAACUUGUGAUUCUUUUCUGUGUUCUGGUUGAAAUCAAACUGUUUGCUAAAUUGAAGUGUUGAAUCAAAGUUUUGACAUGAUCUAGUUUUAUUUUUUAUGGUUAUUUUGCAGGAGUGGGCUUCCAUAUUUGUGUCCAGAUAUACACUGCUGUAGCUGUCUGUCACGUCUGCUGCCAUAUGUUAAAAAUAUGUCAAAAUAACCCUCAGGAAAUUUAAAGUUGUGGUGUAACUCCAUCAGAAGUAAAACAUCUAUAAAUAAAUCAUACUAAGCCUUGAAAUUCACAUCUUUGACCACGUUGUUCUAUAACUCAUGAGCGUCUGAUUGUAAAAGUGUCUUGUAACUGUUUUUCUUUUCUUUUUUUUACUGGCACUGUCUGAACACUGUAAGGAUGUUGUUAUUUGUUUCUGUCACCUGACUGAGUUCAGUUUGGGGACGUGAAGUGUCAUAUUAUACAAGAAGGGAAAUAAAAACUAGAGUGAAUUAAAAUAAA